RNAcentral lists this non-coding RNA (29 nucleotides) under Mus musculus (house mouse). The record is from RNAcentral. Lineage: Eukaryota; Metazoa; Chordata; Mammalia; Rodentia; Muridae.
UUGGCAUAUCUGAAAAGCCAUUCCUGUGA